RNAcentral lists this unclassified non-coding RNA (237 nucleotides) under Glomus sp. RNAcentral's name for it is "partial contains 5.8S ribosomal RNA and internal transcribed spacer 2". The stretch from base 1 to 72 matches the Rfam family "5.8S ribosomal RNA", at positions 84 to 154 of the family's 154-position model. Lineage: Eukaryota; Fungi; Glomeromycota; Glomeromycetes; Glomerales; Glomeraceae. The record is from RNAcentral.
GUGAAUCAUCAAAUUUUUGAACGCAAAUUGCACUCUCCGGUUUUCCGGGAGAGUAUGCUUGUUUGAGGGUAGGACUUAUUAAAAUCGGCUUAGUAGUUUGCUGUGUUUGUCAUGGUAACGUUGGCCGGCAUUUGGGUCAUCUUAAACCGAUAGGGUUUUAAGCGACUUAAAGUUUUCUUACGUUCUCGCGAACGUUUCUACGAUUUUCUUGCACGUUCUAGGUGUCGAUAUUAGUCG